UUGUGAGGCAGAAAGAUGGGAUCAUCACAUAAUCUUUUCUUUCUUUUCUGUUAAGUGGAAGAAGACUGGGUCUUUGCUGUUGCUUUUGGUGCUCAUCAAAUGCAAUGAACUUUUUUGUGAUGGUGUUGAAGGUUUCUUCCUUUUGUGACAUGUUGAGUGCUUCAAGAACAAAGUGAGUUCAGAGCUGUGAACACUGUGUUGCAUUGAAAUCACUAGAUAUUCUGCUCUGCUUGGUUCUGCCUAAGGAUGGCCAGCUAGUAACUAAUAGUUCUUUCUCCUGGCUGACUUCCAGAGAGCCAGGAAAGAAACAAAGAUCAGCUUUUAUAACUGAAGUCAGCAUUGCUGCAGUGAAGGCGCCCAUACAGCAAAGACUGCCAAAGUGACAAAGGAAAAAGGUUAUACGAAAGAAGAGAAAAAUGUAAUAACAGCAGUUGUUGGACCAUAUCUUACCAGGAAAUCGGAUACAUUACUAAUAAAUUCCUUACUGUAUGCUAUGAAAUGAAUCAGUGAGAUAAGGAAAGAAACAAUGCAGCCAAGGAACAGCAACUGGAUAGCAAUCUUUGCUUAUAAUAAUGUAAGUAGAAUUUAUAAUGGCUCUAUCAAAGCAUUUGGCACAGUUGCUAUAAAACAGGCCUGGCAUUUCCAUCUUUUCCAUCUUCAAUUACUUUGAAGAAGUUUAUAACUUACAAUAAAGCAUUAUUUUCCAGGCUUGAAUGUUUGGGAGAGAAUGAAAAAAAUAAUUAAAUAAUAAGGCAGCCUAAGCCUUAUAAGAAAACGCUUGUCACUGAUCUUCUCAAAGCCUUUCCUUGUGCUGUCUACU
Long non-coding RNA from Cuculus canorus (common cuckoo), 820 nucleotides. RefSeq lists it as uncharacterized. NCBI's taxonomy places the organism in Eukaryota, Metazoa, Chordata, Aves, Cuculiformes, Cuculidae. The record is from RefSeq and is a predicted model, not a curated record. The transcript has 3 exons.